CCUACGGGUGACUGCAGUGAGGAAUAUUGGUCAAUGGACGCAAGUCUGACCCAGCCAUGCCGCGUGCAGGCAGACGGCUCUAUGAGUUGUAAACUGCUUUUGUACGAGGGUAAACGCAGAUACGUGUAUCUGUUUGAAAGUAUCGUACGACUAAGGAUCGGCUAACUCCGUGCCAGCUGCCGCGGUAAUACGGAGGAUUCAAGCGUUAUCCGGAUUUAUUGGGUUUAACGGGUGCGUAGGCGGUCGGCUAAGUCAGUGGUGAAAUCCCGAGGCUCAACUUCGGAAUUGCCGCUGAUAAUGGUCGGAUAGAGAGUAGUUGCGGUAGGCGGAAUGCAUGGUGUAGCGGUGAAAUGCUUAGAGAUCAUACAGAACACCGAUUGCGAAGGCAGCUUACCAAGCUCCUUCUGACGUUGAGGCACGAAAGCGUGGGGAGCAAACAGGAUUAGAUACCCCUGUAGUC
RNAcentral lists this ribosomal RNA (460 nucleotides) under uncultured bacterium. Its description in RNAcentral is "partial 16S ribosomal RNA". It matches the Rfam family "Bacterial small subunit ribosomal RNA", at positions 338 to 795 of the family's 1533-position model. The record is from RNAcentral.